GCCGUGGUAGCCUAGUGGUCAAGGUAUCAGAUUCGUGCUUUAAAUAUAUUGAGGCUCAAAUGACCUCCCGUGGUG
This is a non-coding RNA of Trichonephila clavata, 75 nucleotides long. NCBI's taxonomy places the organism in Eukaryota, Metazoa, Arthropoda, Arachnida, Araneae, Nephilidae. The record is from the annotation of a GenBank genome assembly.